UGCCAGCAGCCGCGGGUAAUACGUAGGGACCGAGCGUUGUUCGGAAUUUAUUGGGCGUAAAGGGUACGUAGCCGGUCUAAUAAGUCAGAUGUGAAACCCUCGGGCUCAUCCUGAGGCCUGCGUCUGAUACUGUUAGGCUAGAGUUACGGAGAGGAAGUCGGAAUUCCUGGUGUAGGGGUGAAAUCUAUAGAUAUCAGGAAGAACAUCGGUUGCGAAGGCUGACUUCUGGACGUUAACUGACGCUGAGGUACGAAAGUUAGGGUAGCAAACAGGAUUAGAGACCCUGGUAGUCCUAACUGUAAACGUUGUAUACUAGGUGGUGGCGUUUUGAUCGCGUCACUGCCGGAGCUAACGCAUUAAGUAUACCGCCUGGGGAGUAUGCCGGCAACGGUGAAACUCAAAGGAAUUGACGGGGGCCCGCACAAGCAGUGGAGCAUGUUGUUUAAUUCGAUGAUACGCGAGGAACCUUACCAGGUCUUGACAUAUACCUGAAUGUUGUAGAGAUACAUCAGUCUUUCGGGACAGGUAUACAGGUGCUGCAUGGUUGUCGUCAGCUCGUGCCGUGAGGUGUUGGGUUAAGUCCCGCAACGAGCGCAACCCUUAUUCUUUGUUGCUAACGUGUUAUGGCGAGCACUCUAAGGAGACUGCCGGUGACAAACCGGAGGAAGGUGGGGAUGACGUCAAAUCAUCACGGCCCUUAUGACCUGGGCUACAAACGUGCUACAAUGGGCGGCACAAAGAGUUGCGAUACCGCGAGGGUGAGCUAAUCUCAAAAAACCGUCCUCAGUUCGGAUUGGAGUCUGAAACUCGACUCCAUGAAGCUGGAAUUGCUAGUAAUCGCAUAUCAGCAAUGAUGCGGUGAAUACGUUCCCGGGCCUUGUACACACCGCCCGUCACAUCACCCGAAUUGAUUAUACCCGAUGUGGCUGAGCCAACCCCUUUUGGGGAGGCAGGUCCCUAAGGUAUGGUUGGUGAGGGGGAUGAAGUCGUA
RNAcentral lists this ribosomal RNA (991 nucleotides) under uncultured organism. RNAcentral's name for it is "bacterial SSU rRNA". It matches the Rfam family "Bacterial small subunit ribosomal RNA", at positions 506 to 1490 of the family's 1533-position model. The record is from RNAcentral.